This 468-nucleotide ribosomal RNA is filed under the name uncultured bacterium. RNAcentral's name for it is "partial 16S ribosomal RNA". It matches the Rfam family "Bacterial small subunit ribosomal RNA", at positions 28 to 507 of the family's 1533-position model. The record is from RNAcentral.
GACGAACGCUGGCGGCGUGCUUAACACAUGCAAGUCGAACGGAAAGGCCCUGCUUUUGUGGGGUGCUCGAGUGGCGAACGGGUGAGUAACACGUGAGUAACCUGCCCUUGACUUUGGGAUAACUUCAGGAAACUGGGGCUAAUACCGGAUAGGAGCUCCUGCUGCAUGGUGGGGGUUGGAAAGUUUCGGCGGUUGGGGAUGGACUCGCGGCUUAUCAGCUUGUUGGUGGGGUAGUGGCUUACCAAGGCUUUGACGGGUAGCCGGCCUGAGAGGGUGACCGGCCACAUUGGGACUGAGGUACGGCCCAGACUCCUACGGGCGGCAGCAGUGGGGAAUAUUGCACAAUAGGCGGAAGCCUGAUGCAGCAACGCCGCGUGCGGGAUGACGGCCUUCGGGUUGUAAACCGCUUUCGCCUGUGACGAAGCGUGAGUGACGGUAAUGGGUAAAGAAGCCCCGGCUAACUACGUG